Long non-coding RNA from Austrofundulus limnaeus, 633 nucleotides. RefSeq lists it as uncharacterized. NCBI's taxonomy places the organism in Eukaryota, Metazoa, Chordata, Actinopteri, Cyprinodontiformes, Rivulidae. The transcript has 2 exons. The record is from RefSeq and is a predicted model, not a curated record.
CUCCACCUUUUAUUAUUUUCCUUCCAAAUCUUCUCUCUCAUUUUCUUAUAUAGAUGUGCAUGCUCACAAAUACUUUCUCUUGGGUGAAUCAGUGUGGGUUUAAAAUUUUAAUACUUGAUUUAGCUUCAAAGAGCAUCAUUAUACAAAAUUACUUAUGAUUUAUGUUUAUUGUCUUUGUUCUAGUACAUUUGCAAAUGUUAUGUAAAAUAGGCUAUGUUCAAACUGCAGGCAAUCUGUUUUUAAUGACAGUCUCAUUGUGAUAAUUCAAUCUUUUUAUUUUUUUUCCUGAAAUCUGUCAUAUGCGGUACUAAAUCAGAUACAUAUCUAGUGUGUCGUGGCAAGAAUGGUCAGAAACAUGGCGAAAAGGUGUUAGAAAGACAAAUAGUCUUACGGGUAUGAUCAUAAGUCAUUUAUUGAUGGGCAGACAUGAAACAGAAAGCAAUCACGAAGUCUGUUAGAUGUGGGCCCCCGACUGAGGGCGGAAGAGAACUGUUAUACCUUCAGCUAUCAUUAUGUGAUAAUGAACAACCAAUCAGAAUCUGCCUCGUUCUGGUACAUGAAGUAGGUCAGCUUGAAGAUGACGUUCAGACGAUAUCAUGAGAUAUGAACAAUGGUCAGUGUCAAGGUGAUACA